GGAGCUGCUCACCCGGCAAAGGGACUUGGCAGUAAAACUGCAGCAACACUUCACUGUGUCCCAGAUGAGGUUUGAAAACCUCCAGCAGGAACUGGGGCAGACCACAGCCCAGGAUGAGAGCCUCCUGCAGAUGGAGCUGCUGAAGCAGAAACACUAUGUCCCAGGCAACACCUGUUAAGAAGACUGAGAAGGCUGGAUGAAGCCAGGAACACCUUGAAGGCAUGACAUUCUACACUCCAGGUUCAAGGCCUCCUCAGAAAAUGCCACCUCUUUUCAGCUUUGAACUCACUAGUGAGGCAAAUAUCAACGUACCAUCAGGGGAUCCAGCCUCAAUCUGAUCCAUAUCAGUGGGCUCACUAUCACUGGAGAAAAUUUUGUGUCAGAAAUAAGUCUAAAAUACAGAGAACACAAGACAAAUUAUUAAGAACCCUGACUCCAUAUGUGAUGGGAAAUCUGACAAGCAAGACUGUGUUAACGUCACACUGCCAUCUAGACAGAACACACCAAAAGCACAAGAAUCUCUCUACUGCAGUGCUGAAGCUGACACCAUGUCAUGGGCAAGUGUAGCUGAAGAUAAUUCACUAAGGAGAAUAAGCCAGUUCCUCACCGCUUUUGCUCUUCCAUAAUGAAAUUACAAAGGAAACUGUAAAUUCCUUAAUAUUUUUGUUUUAUAUCUUGGGAUAUUUAUGCUUUGGUUUUUGGUUUUCUUCAUUUUCAUUUAAGGUUUUGUUAACUUUUGUUAUUACUUUUAUCUUGUCAUUGCUUUAAUAGUUUGCUAAGGCUAUACACUGUAUAUAAUGAUACUGUUUUAAAGGCCCCAUUGAGUAAAAUGAAUGUA
This is a long non-coding RNA of Peromyscus eremicus (cactus mouse), 838 nucleotides long. RefSeq lists it as uncharacterized. Lineage: Eukaryota; Metazoa; Chordata; Mammalia; Rodentia; Cricetidae. The transcript is spliced from 3 exons. The record is from RefSeq and is a predicted model, not a curated record.